Molecule: small RNA, 145 nt
Filed under: Escherichia coli
Lineage: Bacteria; Pseudomonadati; Pseudomonadota; Gammaproteobacteria; Enterobacterales; Enterobacteriaceae
Description: sau-50
Source: RNAcentral
GGAAGCUCGGUACUUUAGCAGCAGCGAUGGUGAUCUCUUUACCGGUCUGCGGGUUGCGGCCAGUACGGGCAGCACGUUCCUUAACGGCAAAAGUACCAAAACCUACCAGUGCUACAUCAUCCCCUUCUUUCAGAGAUUCAGUUAC